AACGCACAUUGCGCCCUUUAGUAUUCUGAAGGGCAUGCCUGUUCGAGCGUCAUUAUCACUAAUCAAGCUUGGCUUGCUGUUGGGCCUCUUGUCGUUAAAAAACCGACAGGCCUUAAAAAUAAUGACGGCGUUACUUGGACCCUAGAUGCAACGAGCUUUCAUUAGCACGCGUUUAGUUGGACCUUUUAACCCAGUCUUUUUUAACCGAUUUUCUAAGGUUGACCUCGGAUCAGGUAGGAAUACCCGCUGAACUUAA
RNAcentral lists this unclassified non-coding RNA (256 nucleotides) under uncultured fungus. RNAcentral describes it as "partial contains 5.8S ribosomal RNA, internal transcribed spacer 2, and large subunit ribosomal RNA". The record is from RNAcentral. Lineage: Eukaryota; Fungi.